GGGAGGUUAGUUUAUGCGUUGAUUAUUAAGAAUACUGCUUUUGUAAUGCAGAGGAGUUGAUUUGAGACACUUCCCA
This 76-nucleotide transfer RNA is filed under the name Echinostomatidae sp. MSB para 30070. RNAcentral's name for it is "tRNA-Thr". Lineage: Eukaryota; Metazoa; Platyhelminthes; Trematoda; Plagiorchiida; Echinostomatidae. The record is from RNAcentral.